GUUGAGAUAGUUGAUUAUAUUGCUAAUUCACAACAACACAGUUAAUGAAGUCCUGUGCAUGCCUGUAUUAACCCUUUGAGUGCCACAGUCAUAAUCAAUGUUUUUAUAAGUAUAGAGUUACUGCAUAAUUUGGUGUUUCGUGGUCGAGUAUACUUAUCUUUACGAGGUCUGAUAAUGAUGUUGAAGUUUACGAUAAAAAAAUAAAUAAAAAUCUUCCAAAGUGGAC
Pelobates cultripes (western spadefoot toad) is the source of this 226-nucleotide non-coding RNA. Lineage: Eukaryota; Metazoa; Chordata; Amphibia; Anura; Pelobatidae. The record is from the annotation of a GenBank genome assembly.